UGUCUCUCGGGUGCUUCGAAACCCCGUAAAAAAGAGUGGGGGGGGAGUUUUUUCUUUUUAUAAAAAGGGGAUCCCCUAGUAACGGCGAGUGAAGAGGGAAGAGCUCAAAUUGAAASCUKKUACKUCGGUAUCCGCGUUGUAACCUCGAGACACGUUUUCCKUGCGGCGCUAUGGACAAGUUCCUUGGAACAGGACAUCGUAGAGGGUGAAAAUCCCGUACUUGCCAYGGAUGUACCGUGCUUUGCGAUACGUGCUCUAAGAGUCGAGUUGUUUGGGAUUGCAGCUCAAAAUGGGUGGUAGACUCCAUCUAAAGCUAAAUAUCGGGGAGAGACCGAUAGCGAACAAGUACCGUGAGGGAAAGAUGAAAAGCACUUUGGAAAGAGAGUUAAAAGUACGUGAAAUUGUCGAAAGGGAAGCGCUUGAAGUCMGCCAUGCCGCUCARGACUCAGCCUGGCUUUUGCUUGGUGUAUUUCCKGGGUAGCAAGUCAGCAUUGGUUUGGAUCGUCGGAGAAGCAUAGUCGGAAUGUGGCGCCCUCGGGCGUGUUAUAGCCUUCUWUUGGAUACSACUAUAUAGAYCWAGGAMCSCMRCRMGCCUUAUGGCGGGUCUUCGGACACCUUCGCGCUUAGGAGCGGGGCCGUUUUUUUGUUGGCGGUUUUGCCCCCCCCCCUAAAAGGGUUUCCCCCAAACGAACUAGGCCUCAGGG
Molecule: ribosomal RNA, 704 nt
Filed under: Malassezia furfur
Lineage: Eukaryota; Fungi; Basidiomycota; Malasseziomycetes; Malasseziales; Malasseziaceae
Description: partial 26S ribosomal RNA
Rfam family: Eukaryotic large subunit ribosomal RNA
Source: RNAcentral